This 405-nucleotide long non-coding RNA is filed under the name Panax ginseng (ginseng). RNAcentral's name for it is "long non-coding RNA (PGIN_LNC010436)". Lineage: Eukaryota; Viridiplantae; Streptophyta; Magnoliopsida; Apiales; Araliaceae. The record is from RNAcentral.
CUUAGAUAGUCAGGUGUCGUUUUACCUUUAGUUUUGCUCUUUUCUUUUGUUUAUAGCAAGGUUUCACGGAAUUGGUUUCUGUAAUAUGCAUAGGUUAUGAACAGUGAAGGAAAGUGAUUGAGAGAGCAUUUGUUUGUUAGUCUACAUUUUUAAACAUGUGCUUCUUAUGGAAAAUAAAUUGUGAAUAGGGAUGUAUUAUUGGGAUGUAUUUUGAAUGGUAUUAUUGGGAUGUAUUUUGAAUGGUUGAUACAUUUUGGCUUUAAAUUUAAAUGAGAAUUUAGACCUUUUAGCUAUAUAUUAUGGCAUUAGCAGAUUGCAAGUGCACUGGUAAUAUAGGUGAACCACAAUUUUUUUUCUUUUUUUUUCCUAAUUCAAUCUAUAACAUUUUAAAAACGUUGUGUAAAU